This 433-nucleotide ribosomal RNA is filed under the name uncultured bacterium. Its description in RNAcentral is "partial 16S ribosomal RNA". It matches the Rfam family "Bacterial small subunit ribosomal RNA", at positions 29 to 507 of the family's 1533-position model. The record is from RNAcentral.
AACGAACGCUGGCGGCAGGCCUAACACAUGCAAGUCGAGCGAGGACUUCGGGUCUAGCGGCGGACGGGGGAGUAACGCGUGGGAAUGUGCCCUUCUCUACGGAAUAGCCCUGGGAAACUGGGAGUAAUACCGUAUACGCCCUAUUGGGGGAAGAUUUAUCGGAGAAGGAUGAGCCCGCGUUGGAUUAGGUAGUUGGUGGGGUAAUGGCCUACCAAGCCGACGAUCCAUAGCUGGUUUGAGAGGAUGAUCAGCCACACUGGGACUGAGAAACGGCCCAGACUCCUACGGGAGGCAGCAGUGGGGAAUCUUAGACAAUGGGGGCAACCAUGAUCUAGCCAUGCCGCGUGAGUGAUGAAGGCCUUAGGGUUGUAAAGCUCUUUCAGCUGGGAAGAUAAUGACGGUACCAGCAGAAGAAGCCACGGCUAACUCCGUG